This 393-nucleotide ribosomal RNA is filed under the name unidentified archaeon. RNAcentral's name for it is "bacterial SSU rRNA". It matches the Rfam family "Archaeal small subunit ribosomal RNA", at positions 90 to 456 of the family's 1478-position model. The record is from RNAcentral.
UCAGUAACACGUAGUCAACCUGCCCUGGAGAUGCGGACAAACCCGGGAAAUUGGGGCCUAUCCGCGAUAGAUGACCUCAUCUGGAAGGAGAGGUCGUCCAAAUGGACGCACGGGUAUGCUCUGUGCGGACCGCUCCAGGAUGGGACUGCGGCCGAUCAGGCUGUUGGCGGGGUAAUGGCCCACCAAACCUGUAACCGGUACGGGCUUUGAGAGAAGGAGUCCCGGAGAUGGACACUGAGUACAAGGGUCCAGGCCCUACCGGGGUCGCAUCAGGCGCUGAUAAACUUCGCAAUGCGCGAAUAGUCGUGAACGAGGCUAGUCCGAGUGCUCCCUGCUAAAGGGAGCUUUUCUCGGCUGUAAAUAGCCGGGGAAUAAGGGGAGGGCAAGUCUGGU